Molecule: transfer RNA, 67 nt
Filed under: Latreillia valida
Lineage: Eukaryota; Metazoa; Arthropoda; Malacostraca; Decapoda; Latreilliidae
Description: tRNA-Ser
Source: RNAcentral
AGGAAUAUUAGUAAAGAUAAAGCUUCUAACUUAAAUCUUAAGCGGUUAAAUUCCGUUUAUAUUCCUG